ACGCCAUAGUUCAAAUGCCGAUAAUGCGAACAACGUCACUAGAAUUUGUGGUGCUGAAGAUUGUCCAGUAACAGCAAACGACACCAUGAUCGAACAACCUGAUAAAAACGUAGUGUAUAUUUUGUUGGGGAUCUUUUUGCUUUGUGAUAUAUUUGGACUUUGUUUGACAGUUUUUCUUUUACCAAACUUAAAACCUCGAAAAUCUAAUGAACAAACUCUGCCGAAAUCACUUGUUUCUUGCUGCACAACUUUAGCAGACAAAAAGAUGAUACUGCUCAUUCCUUUAUUUUUUUCCUAUGCCAUGAAUCAAGGAUUGCUAUUGACAGAAUAUACUAAGGCGUACAUCAGCUGCUCAUUAGGUGUUUCAAUGGUCGGUUUUAUAAUGGCGUGUUACGGCGGAAGUACGGCCAUCUUUGCCAUACUGAUUGGACAUCUAGCUCAAUAUACAGGACGAUAUUUUUUGUUUCUUCUGGCGAUGUGUGCAGAUAUGACAAUGCUGUUAGUCUUUUAUUUUUGGAAACCAAAUGAACAUCAACUAUAUCUAUUUUUUAUAAUUCCAAGCCUCGGAGCCCUUUCGGAGGCCAUUUAUCUGGCUCAGUUUAACUCUUUGAUAAGUAUUUUGUUUAAAGAAAAGAUCGAUUCAGCUUUUGCCAACUAUUGUACAUCAAGGGCGUUGGGUUAUACUGCUACUUUCAUCUGUGGAGUUUUCAUGUGUCUGAGAAUUAGACUAUUUAUCGCUGUGGCAUUGGUUGUAAUUGGUUUCUUUGGUUAUGUGGGAGCGGAAGUUCUUUAUUCCAAAACAAAACUUUUACAGAAUUAGACUAUUUAUCGCUUUGGCAUUGGUUGUAAUUGGUUUUCUUGGUUACGUGGGAUCUGA
Long non-coding RNA from Patella vulgata (common limpet), 877 nucleotides. RefSeq lists it as uncharacterized. The record is from RefSeq and is a predicted model, not a curated record. Lineage: Eukaryota; Metazoa; Mollusca; Gastropoda; Patellidae. The transcript is spliced from 3 exons.